Molecule: ribosomal RNA, 478 nt
Filed under: uncultured bacterium
Lineage: Bacteria
Description: partial 16S ribosomal RNA
Rfam family: Bacterial small subunit ribosomal RNA
Source: RNAcentral
GACGAACGCUGGCGGCGUGCUUAACACAUGCAAGUCGAACGGUAAGGCCCUCCGGGGUACACGAGUGGCGAACGGGUGAGUAACACGUGGGUGAUCUGCCCUGCACUUCGGGAUAAGACUGGGAAACUGGGUCUAAUACCGGAUAGGACCACUGCCUGCAUGGGGGGUGGUGGAAAGCUUUUGCGGUGUGGGAUGGGCCCGCGGCCUAUCAGCUUGUUGGUGGGGUGAUGGCCUACCAAGGCGACGACGGGUAGCCGGCCUGAGAGGGUGACCGGCCACACUGGGACUGAGAUACGGCCCAGACUCCUACGGGAGGCAGCAGUGGGGAAUAUUGCACAAUGGGCGCAAGCCUGAUGCAGCGACGCCGCGUGAGGGAUGACGGCCUUCGGGUUGUAAACCUCUUUCAGCACCGACGAAGCGCAAGUGACGGUAGGUGCAGAAGAAGGACCGGCCAACUACGUGCCAGCCGCCGCAGUAA